This 78-nucleotide transfer RNA is filed under the name Rhodoplanes roseus. RNAcentral describes it as "tRNA-Val". Lineage: Bacteria; Pseudomonadati; Pseudomonadota; Alphaproteobacteria; Hyphomicrobiales; Nitrobacteraceae. The record is from RNAcentral.
GGCCCGGUGGCGGAAUGGCGACGCAAGGGGGGGCUGACGCUCCCCCACAUCCUGGUUCGAAUCCAGGCUGGGCCUCCA